GUCAGGAUGGCCGAGCGGUCUAAGGCGCCAGACUCAAGAAUGAUAUCUUGAUCCUCUAAAAAGGAUGCUUAGAAUUCUGGUCCUCAACAGAGGGCGUGGGUUCAAAUCCCACUUCUGACA
Transfer RNA from Daphnia magna, 120 nucleotides. It matches the Rfam family "tRNA". From Rfam's summary of the family: Transfer RNA (tRNA) molecules are approximately 80 nucleotides in length. Their secondary structure includes four short double-helical elements and three loops (D, anti-codon, and T loops). The record is from Rfam. NCBI's taxonomy places the organism in Eukaryota, Metazoa, Arthropoda, Branchiopoda, Diplostraca, Daphniidae.